Molecule: ribosomal RNA, 446 nt
Filed under: uncultured bacterium
Lineage: Bacteria
Description: bacterial SSU rRNA
Rfam family: Bacterial small subunit ribosomal RNA
Source: RNAcentral
GCCAGACUCCUACGGGAGGCAGCAGUGGGGGAUAUUGCACAAUGGGGGAAACCCUGAUGCAGCGACGCCGCGUGAGUGAAGAAGUAUUUCGGUAUGUAAAGCUCUCUCAGCAGGGAAGAAAAAAGACGGUACCUGACUAAGAAGCCCCGGCUAACUACGUGCCAGCAGCCGCGGUAAUACGUAGGGGGCAAGCGUUAUCCGGAUUUACUGGGUGUAAAGGGAGCGUAGACGGCAAUACAAGUCGGAAGUGAAAUACCCGGGCUCAACCUGGGAACUGCUUUGGAAACUGUAUGGCUGGAGUGCUGGAGAGGUAAGCGGAAUUCCUAGUGUAGCGGUGAAAUGCGUAGAUAUUAGGAGGAACACCAGUGGCGAAGGCGGCUUACUGGACAGUAACUGACGUUGAGGCUCGAAAGCGUGGGGAGCAAACAGGAUUAGAUACCCUUGUA